ACACUCCUGCGGGAGGCAGCAGUGGGGAAUUUUACGCAAUGGGGGAAACCCUGACGUAGCGACACCGCGUGAGCGAAGAAGCCCUUUGGGGUGUAAAGCUCUGUCAGCUGGAACGAAAACAAUGACGGUACCAGCAGAGGAAGCAUCGGCUAACUACGUGCCAGCAGCCGCGGUAAGACGUAGGAUGCGAGCGUUGUCCGGAUUUAUUGGGCGUAAAGAGUUCGUAGGUGGUUUGUUAAGUUUGGUGUUAAAGAUCGGGGCUCAACCCUGGGACUGCACUGAAUACUGGCAGACUCGAGUGUGGUAGAGGCUAGUGGAAUUCCCAGUGUAGCGGUGAAAUGCGUAGAUAUUGGGAAGAACACCGGUGGCGUAGGCGACUAGCUGGGCCAUAACUGACGCUGAGGAACGAAAGCCAGGGGAGCGAAUGGGAUUAGAAACCCCUGUAGUCCCA
Molecule: ribosomal RNA, 451 nt
Filed under: uncultured organism
Description: partial 16S ribosomal RNA
Rfam family: Bacterial small subunit ribosomal RNA
Source: RNAcentral